Long non-coding RNA from Chenopodium quinoa (quinoa), 1144 nucleotides. RefSeq lists it as uncharacterized. The transcript is spliced from 3 exons. The record is from RefSeq and is a predicted model, not a curated record. NCBI's taxonomy places the organism in Eukaryota, Viridiplantae, Streptophyta, Magnoliopsida, Caryophyllales, Amaranthaceae.
AACGAAAGCACAUAAAAGACCGUUUUCUGAAUAUCACUACAACAAAUUGAGCUUUUAACAACACCAAAAUAAUAGCACUUUGACAAAAAUGCUGUUAUUAUUUGGGAUAGCAACAGUAAACCACUUAAGGAAGCAAUUUAACAGCAUUUCAUGUACAAAUACUGUAAAAAAAGUACGAUACAACAGCGUUUUAAUUAAACGCUACAAUAAUGUGCUAUUAAUCUAACCACUCAUCCCAUUUUUACCAGUCCACUAAAGCAUAACACAAAAAAAGAAAAAAAAAAAAAAAUUGAUUAACCAACCUCCACGACUUUAUAGAUCUAAAUCCACAAAAUCCUAAUUCCAUAAGUUUUCACACUGCUCUACUUUCUCCUCCAUUGAAUUAUACUGUCAUGCUCUAAAUUUCCCAGUGAUUCUCUCCUCCAUUGAAGCAGCUUUUGAGGAGCCACUCGGGUGAGGAUGAGGUUAAGGUUGAGGUUUUGGGAGCAUUUACCGAAUCAUUGAAAAUUAUCUAGAAUGUACUUGGCAUGUUCCUCGAUUUUGAUGACCCGAGAGAAGGCCGAAAAAUUACAUUAGAAGUAGCCUUGAAGCUAAAAAGAAGCAACGAAACAAGCAAGAGCAAAAGGAGCAAAGAACGAAGCAAGCACAAGCAGCAGCGCAACCACCGUGGCACGGCAGUGGGCACCGUGUCGCGGAGUUCAGCACCGUGGCUCGGCAGACAGCCGUGUCGUGGCAGCCGACGCCGUGGCAUGGAAACCUAGUUUUGCCCACCGCGGGCGCGAGUUCAGCCUCUGCAGGUGCGACCCUGCAGGUUUCCAGUUUUGGCCAGCUUCUUGUAAAUUCCCCGGAGAUGCCUCUCAGCGGACGCGACCCUUAGCCACCGCGGGCGCGGGUUUCUAGGUUUCCUUCGCAUUUUAUCUUCGUUUUUUUGUAAUAUUAAUAGGACGACCUUCUUUAGACUUCAUAAAAGCAAGUUUUUACAUUCUCUCUCCUCUAAUUAGGAUUGGGCUUAGAUUAGGAGUUUCUCUCUCUAGCUUAGGAGUAGUUUUAGAGAGAGAAAGCUUGGGAUUUCAAUGGAGAUUUAAGAGUCUGAAGAUGCAAUUUUGUGGAUACUCUUCUCAUCUAUUCAAUGAGCUUUUCUAAC